GUCAGAUGAAAGAAAAUGUGCAGAGCUGUGGGUCAUCGGGACCAGGACUAAUAUCCAGAGCUCAACCUGCUGACACUUUCUAGCGGAUCCCGCGCUGCAGACGCGUUAACAGUUCGCGGCUUCUCCUCUCAGAGACUCACAAAGGAAAUACCUAUCAGACGCUCGCAUCAUUCCAGCGGACCGAACCGAAGCGGAUCCGGAUUCGGGCAACAGGAGGAUCUCAGACACAGUCCAACUGGAUGUCACAUCGCGCUUUCCAUGGUGCUGAAAUGAUCUGAUCUAAUCUCAGCCCGGAUCAUCAUCAUCACCAUCAUCAUCAUCAUCUGCACAGCAGGAUUGUCCUUUAUUCUGAGCUGUGAUGCUGUUCAUGGAUUGUAAGAUGGUGGAUAUUCUACGCGGUCGGAGAAGGUUGCGGGUGUCCGUCUGUAAGCCGCCCUGCUCCUUCUGGUUUCUACUGCUGUUUGGAGUUGGAGGACUCGUUCUCUUCAUCCACCUGCAGGAUCUGUCCGAUAUGGUGCUUCAGCAGGCUCCAGAUCCGUGCUGGACUGGAUGCUUCUCUCGCUUCGACCGGGAAAGGGCUCUUAUCUGACAGGAGAUGAUGUAUGCUGGCUGCAGGAAACUGGGCCGCUCCUUGCUUUAAUUGGGUCUCGUACCGAAACUCAGCCGUGCUGGAGAUUUCAGACAGGUCGGAUGGGGAACACAGCCAACAUCGUUCACUGUUUUGCUAAAAGUGGAAUAUGCAUCGUCAGGGAGUGCCUGAAAAUAACAUUUGUAAUGAUAAUUUUAGAAAGACUGUGUCAGAGUACACUCCAGGGAGUCUUUUUAGAGAUGGAAAAAUGUGCAGUGAACAGGUGCAGUUAUUACACGCAGCAUGCAUCUGCAUCGCUUGCUUAAUUAGCGAUUGAAAUUAAAAUUUGACUUUUGUGCCUUACUGCACAACUACUGUUUAAAAGUUCAGAGUUUAUGUUUGUCUCUUCUGCUCAGGAAGGCUGAAUUUAUUUGAUUAAAAAUACUGUAAAAAAUGUAAAAUAUUAUUACAAUUUAAAAUACAUGUUUUCUGUGUGAAUAUAUUGUAGAAUAUAAUUUAUUUCUGUGAUUAAAGCUGAAUUUUCAGCAUCAUUACUCCAGUCUUCAGUGUCACAUGAUCAUUCAGAAAUCAUUCUAAUAUGCUGAUUUGCUGCUCGAGAAACAUUGCUGAUUAUUAUCACAGUUGUGCUGCUCAAUAUUUGUGUGGAAACAGUGAUACAUUUUAUAUUUUUAGAAUUCUUUGAUAAAUAGAAUGUUCAAAAAACAGCAUUUAUUUAUAACAUUAUUAACUGUCACUUUUGAUCAAUUUAAUGCUGAAUAAAAGUAUUAAUAAAAUCCUACUGACUUCAAACCUUUGAACAGUAGUGUAUAUGCUAGUGCACUUCUAAAAGCUGACUUCACUUUUAAUGCACUUUAAAUUAAGUAUGCAAGAAGUGCCAAGCAAGUAAAUCAUGAUUCAUGGCUGUGAUCAAACUAGAGCCUAUUCUGUGAGAAACGCCAUUGUGUGUCUCACCAAACCUCCUGAAUCAACAGAAAAUACAGCACUACUAAAGGAAGUUCACAAGGUCUUUAAAGCAGUAGUUCAUACAAAAAUAAAAAAGCUGUCAUCAUUUACUCACCUUCAUGUCGUUCCAUAUGAGUUUCUUUCUUCUGUGGAACACAAAGAUAGAUAGAUAGAUAGAUAGAUAGAUAGCGUGUGAGCGGCGCUCAGAUCUGUGAGGAAAUGAAGGUGGUGAGUCAGGCCAGUGCGUCUGUGAGGAAUUUAGU
Labeo rohita (rohu) is the source of this 1794-nucleotide long non-coding RNA. RefSeq lists it as uncharacterized. The transcript has 4 exons. NCBI's taxonomy places the organism in Eukaryota, Metazoa, Chordata, Actinopteri, Cypriniformes, Cyprinidae. The record is from RefSeq and is a predicted model, not a curated record.